UCGCGAGCAUGGGCACGCGUCUGUGGCGCCAGACACGCGUCCGCAGAGACGCUAGCUCGCCUCCUCCUCCCUCUGCCUAUAUAAGGCCACCCGAGCCUCCCCCGAGCAUCUCAUCGUCAUCCUCACACUCCACUAGCCCUCCCCAGAGUCUCACCGGAGCCUGAGAGCCUCGUCUCGCUUCCAAUGGCCGCCUUGGCCGCCGAUGGCCUCUGCUCGAAUUUGAGCGAGCCAAGCAUCCCCUCCCUCUCUCUCCACCACCACAGCUCCACCCACUCCCCGGCGCAUCUCUCCCUUAUCUCAGUUCGUCGGCGGAUCCACCAUGGCGUCGGCUCCAUCUUCACCGAUGCCGACCGUCCGCCGUGGAGAACGCAGCUGCCUUUCCCGAGCUCCCCAUCGUCUACAAUCCCCGGAGACGCCUCCGCCUCGUUCCCGUGCAUCCGUGGAUAGGUCGGGCGCCGCCUGCGGUGGCGGCCGUAGCACCGGCAGGCCUCGUCGGGGCCGGCUCUACCGCAGCCAGGCACGGGCGAGGGGAAGGAGACGACGGCCCCAACCCCCUCCCUGCCAGCUGGCCGGUGGGACCCGUGGCCCCCACCCGUCAGCGUCCCAGCAUUGACCCCGCGCCUACGCUGACGUGGACAAGUGGAGGCAUAUUCCCGUGAAUACGUCCCCCACACACGAAAGCGUACUCUGUUCUUCUUCGGACCGAAUUGCGUUUUCCUUUACGGAAAACGUAUUUUCGGAGAAGGCGCUUUCUGUUUUUCUCACUCAGGGGCCUGUUUGUGAUGAUUUCUUUACAGAUAGGUCCCUAGCAGAAAAACACUCAUAACUUUUUGCUCGCAACUUCAAAUGAGUUUGCCCUUGCACUAAACCAGCCCCUUUCAAGAGAGAAUGUUUUCCGAUGAUUCUUUCCACGACUUCACCGCAUUUUUCCCCGGAGUAUUCUUCAUCCCCAGGCAAGCCAACCUCUUAUCAUGAGCCCCGAACUUGCAUGCUGACUUUGCUUGCACCUUGUGUGUGUAGUUCCAGUUGCUAUUUACCCUUCAUCUGUAGUCAUUCUGUUAUGAUCAUCAUGCAUGCUUAUGUUUUCAUGAUAUCUUUUGCCAUGCUAAUUAGAAUAUUAGCAUCAA
This is a long non-coding RNA of Triticum dicoccoides, 1127 nucleotides long. RefSeq lists it as uncharacterized. The transcript is spliced from 2 exons. The record is from RefSeq and is a predicted model, not a curated record. Lineage: Eukaryota; Viridiplantae; Streptophyta; Magnoliopsida; Poales; Poaceae.